AGCGUUACUNGGAAUCACUGGGCGUAAAGGACGCGUAGGCGGAUUAUCAAGUCUCUUGUGAAAUCUAACGGCUUANCCGUUAAACUGCUUGGGAAACUGAUAAUCUAGAGUAAGGGAGAGGCAGAUGGAAUUCUUGGUGUAGGGGUAAAAUCCGCAGAUAUCAAGAAGAAUACCUAUUGCGAAGGCGAUCUGCUGGAACUUAACUGACGCUAAUGCGUGAAAGCGUGGGGAGCAAACAGGAUUAGAUACCCUGGUAGUCCACGCCCUAAACGAUGUAUACCGGUUGUUGCUGUGCUAGUCACGGCAGUAAUCCACCUAACGGAUUAAGUAUACCGCCUGGGGAGUACGGUCGCAAGAUUAAAACUCAAAGGAAUAGACGGGGACCCGCACAAGCGGUGGAGCAUGUGGUUUAAUUCGAAGAUACGCGAAGAACCUUACCCGGACUUGAUAUCUAACAAAUCAUCCAGAGAUGGAAGAGUGUCUGCUUGCAGAAAUGUUAAGACAGGUGCUGCACGGCUGUCGUCAGCUCGUGUCGUGAGAUGUUGGGUUAAGUCCCGCAACGAGCGCAACCCACGUCAUUAGUUGCUAUCGGUUCGGCCGAGCACUCUAAUGAGACUGCCUUCGUAAGGAGGAGGAAGGUGUGGACGACGUCAAGUCAUCAUGGCCCUUAUGUCCGGGGCGACACACGUGCUACAAUGGCGUAUACAAUAAGACGCAAUAUCGUAAGAUGGAGCAAAUCUAAAAAAUAUGUCCCAGUUCGGAUUGGAGUCUGCAACUCGACUCCAUGAAGCCGGAAUCGCUAGUAAUCGUAGAUCAGCCAUGCUACGGUGAAUACGUUCCCGGGUCUUGUACACACCGCCCGUCACACCAUGGGAGUUGAUUUCACUCGAAGC
This 893-nucleotide ribosomal RNA is filed under the name uncultured bacterium. RNAcentral's name for it is "bacterial SSU rRNA". It matches the Rfam family "Bacterial small subunit ribosomal RNA", at positions 537 to 1427 of the family's 1533-position model. The record is from RNAcentral.